Molecule: long non-coding RNA, 2730 nt
Organism: Lynx canadensis (Canada lynx)
Lineage: Eukaryota; Metazoa; Chordata; Mammalia; Carnivora; Felidae
Exons: 3
Source: RefSeq, a predicted model, not a curated record
AGGUGCUGGAGGUGCUGUUUUUCCUGAAGCUCAGUCAGAGGCUGGAACUGAGUAGGAAUGCUUGCGGGGUUUAGCAGCCUCAUGAUCUCCCAGCCUCGCAUUCCUCUAUAGCAGUGUUAUUUGGGCAUUUGAGUUUUGAUUGUGAACUAUCUAAAGGUUUGUUUGUUUUUUUUUUUUUUUUUCUGAAAUAAUCAGGAAGUCCCUCCGUCCGGGAACAGACAGCGAUAGAUGAAACUCUUCUGGGGCACAAGGAAGGGUGCCACUUAGAACAGGAUCCUCAAGCCUGUGAAAGAGGCAGCGCCUUGUUAAAAAUACCUAGCUUACUUCGGGGGAGGAUUUGGCUGAAUACUGAUGAAGUUUAUGAAAUAUGAAUGUAGUGAAGUUGCUGUACGUAAGUGGUAGGCGUGUGUGAAAGAAGUAAGAAGAAAUAAAAUUGUGUAUAAAUGACACUCCGAAACUUGAUGAAUUGUAUACGUGACAGGAAUGGUGACGUUUGGGUCUGUGCUUAAUGGGGGAAAGUAAACUGGCUUAAAUCUAAUGUCAAACUAGAUGUGGGACUAACAAUUAGAGAAAUAAGAUUUCUGAACAUAACUUUGUGACCAAAGAAUGCUACCGAGGAUAAACGGGGAGAAAAACUGAGGGACCAACACUUGAAUUUAUGAGGAGGUAUGGUAAUCACUGUUUUAAGUAAUCCAGACUAUUAACUGCCGUGCUGCUAGGUAGAGAAUUCGUUAGCCCAACGAAAGGCAUAAAUCGGAAUUUGAGGUUGUGUGGGAGAAAUCCUCUUGAUCCCCAAAGCAUAAAUUGCAUGUACUGAGAAGAAAGCUGCACACGAUUGUAAUUUUUUUCUGUCUUAUCCUGAUUAAUUGACAGCCAACUGUAUGCCUCUUUCCUGAAGGUGACUUUACAAUCUCCAGACACAGACAUUCUCUCCGAAGUGGAGUGAAGGAAGGAGAACCCACAGCUAAAGGCAAUGAAAGAGGAAAAGUUGACACUUUGAGAAGUUAUGACGAACUUGUCGAGAAUGCCAAUUGACAAAGGCAGAAGCAGAGAGCUUAUCUCAUCCCAUGUGAUCGAUGCCGGUCCUGGGGAAGACUGACUGUGUAGAAGUGAAUGGAUUUCCAACAUACCAAUCACAGAAGAAACAAGGGUAUAUUUAGCAAGUCUAAAACCUCUUCGAUAAACUGCAUUGCUUUUCAUUUGCACCGUAAGGUCAUAAGCCAGUGGAUGGUAAGAAGGCCGUGGUAACGACACAGCGUGUACUCCCAGGAAGUGUGUGGGAUGGGGAUGUUAUAUCUGAAAGGACAGGGCAUCUGGGAGGAUGAACUGCCCAUAACUCUCAAUUGUCCAGGUAAUGAAGCAUUGGAAAGCAAAGGCAAAUGAAAUACUUUGAUAAUCAAAAAUGAUGCUUCUUGUAGUGAUCCCAUUAGUUGACUGAUGAUGACAAGUGUGAAAUUGUGAGCUGUAUUUUUACCAUUUCUGGCACUCAUGGCCCAUUUCUGUUGAGUGCAUUUAUGCAGAAAGUGGGAACCCGGACAAUUUCCAUAGACCAGGCUGUUAACCCAGAAGAUGUAAAAUUUCACAGCGUGAAGGAUGAGGGUUGAAGAUUAGCGAGGGACUAAAAUUUCUUGAGGCCCUACAAAGAAUCCGUAGAAGAACUGAUAACUGCACUGAUUGGCUCUGGGAAGUCCUAAAGCUCGUGUUCUAACCUUGAGCUGUGAGGGUGUGUGCUGGGUACGUGGUACUCACUCAUGGUGUUGUCGCUGGUCAUGUUCUGUUAGCCCAAAGCCUGUUGGAGACAGAAGGGACCUUAUGAAUCAUGUACCCUGGCCCUCCUGGUUUAAACUGACGCUCACAGAGGUGUAAUAAUGUGCCCAAAGUUCCGUUCCUAGUAAAUAGCAAGGCUGUGAGAAGAGUACAGGUCUUCUGCUUCCACACCCAGUGUUCCUUCCACGUGGAUGCUGUGCCAGGAUGCUCAGAAGUUCCAGGAAUGUACAAAACCAAGCUCCUGCCCUCCUAGGAAAGCCCCCUGAGGAUAUUACAGUGUGUACACAAGUUAACCCAGCACGAGAUAGUUGACCCGUAUGAAAGUCAGUGCGCGCCAUGUGGGUUCUGCAGAAAUAAUAGAACAUUAUCAGUAAUUGUUAUUUUUUUAAAUCCCACUAGGCAUUUAUAUUAUAUACAAAUGAGCUUGUGAACCUGUGGCUGUGUCCAAUAAGACCAUUCUAAAGCACAGUGACCUUGCUGCCUGUGGCUCCGUGCUCUGAUUCAGAAGGAAGUAAAAUAGAGGCUAUGGAGGGGAAUAUCUUGUCAUUAGCACCUGCGUGGGUGGUUACGUUAGCUGGAGCUGGCCACAGGGGAGGUGUCUCUCAGCCGCUGCCCUCUUUCCUCGAGGCAGAGGAUUUAUACAGAUGCUCAGAAGCAAGUCUGCCAAUGGAAUGCUAUAUAGCCAGGAAAAAUCACGUUGUAGUAGAAAAAUAGCUUUUGACAGGAAAAUGUCAGUCACUUAUUAGUGAAGAGUAGUAACUUUCAUAGUAGUAUACACAGAAUGUCAUCAUUUUUGUAAGGAAUUACUGUGUGUGUGUGUGUGUGUGUGUGUGUGUGUGUGUAUUAAUAUGGACCCAUCUACACCUUGAUAAUGAAAUGAUAAGAUGGUUAUUUCUGGAUUGAUUACCUCUGGUGUUAGUUUUUUUUUUCUCUGUGCUCUUCUGUAUUUCUGACUUGCCUGUG